UUAGAAGAAAGGUAGCCCACAACAAAGGGUACCCCAAGGUUAGAAGAACAAAAAAGAGAGAAGAGAAAAACAUAAAAGAUACAUCAUGUAAAAGAUACUCACAUCUUAGCUAGCCUUAAGCACUCGGUUAUAGUACUUAUCCAAGCCUAAUUUGUCCAUCUCCAAAGCCACCUUAAAAGUAAUAUUCGUAAAAGUGUAAUAUAGGUAUUCAUCUAGGUGGGAAACUUCAACAAGUCCCUAGGUAGGGAAAAUAAUGAAACAUCUUUUUUUUUUUUUUUUUAGGUACAUAGGGUACCCUUGAAACCACAAUGAGAGGAGCCUUACGACUUCUUCUUUGUUGCCGGGCUUUGAUGAGGAAGGGUACCUAUCGAAGAGGUGGCACCUACGGUAAUUGAGGAUUCACUUCUUAGACGGUUUAUAAAGGAGUCGAAAUCUUCGCUGGACCGAUCCAUAUCAAUCAACCACCAUGGAAAACAAGAAGAAAAGGUCAGAUAAACAGACACAAAGCUUAUUGUGAAUUAAAAUAACAGAAGGGCAAACAGUAAGGAAAACAUAAGGCUAGAAAACAAAAUACGAGUGACACUAGAAUACCCUUGCAAUACCCUCUACUCAUACUUGGUCAUGAAAAGAAGCCGAUGGGGAACCUUUGACCAAUUAGCCCUACCCACACUCAAUAUAUCACUCUCUAUAUGGCCAAAAACUUUGCCUAGUAGCGGUAAAAGAAAGAAAAUAAAAGGGAAGUCAAAGUUAGAAGCACCAGGAGGAAGGAAAAGAGGAAAGAAAAGGAAGAAAAAAAAAACAAAGAAGAGAGAGAGGCUUACCUAACAGAAGCUAAAGAAAAACGCAAGGAAUUGCUGGGGUUUCGAAUGGAGAACAAAGAUGUGCUGCCAAGAUGUUUGCAGGUUCAAGGAUAACUCUAGGGAUUUCAAAAAGAGUAAAGGGGAGGUGAAAGAAAAAAAAAAAAGAAAAAAGAAGGAUAAAAAUAAUAAAGGGGAGUUGUACGAUGUGUAAGUGAAAUAAGUAAUUUCACUUGUUCUAAAGCAAAGACAAAGAAAAAGGAAAUGUGUUGUGUCAUUAGAGAGGGUCCGCCUGUAAUAAAGCGCUGCAUAAGAUACAGCGGAAGUUUAAUUUUUUAUUCUAAAUUUAUUGGCCGUUAGAUUACUUUAUAAGCAAUCCAACGGCUUCGUAAUUUUAGGCAUAAAAUAGGUCACCGAAACAGAUGGUGGAACACUGGAAUCGGCAAAUAUCCUGGUAAUUAUCACUUUGCUCCCUCAUCUUUUAACUAAAUAUUAAAG
This 1295-nucleotide long non-coding RNA is filed under the name Citrus sinensis (sweet orange). Its description in RNAcentral is "long non-coding RNA (CSIN_LNC004055)". The record is from RNAcentral. Lineage: Eukaryota; Viridiplantae; Streptophyta; Magnoliopsida; Sapindales; Rutaceae.